Molecule: transfer RNA, 70 nt
Filed under: Durgades nigropicta
Lineage: Eukaryota; Metazoa; Arthropoda; Insecta; Hemiptera; Cicadellidae
Description: tRNA-Val
Source: RNAcentral
CAAAAUAUAGCUUAUAAAAAGCGUGUUACUUACAUUAAUAAGAUGAUUGAUACUUGUCAGUUUAUUUUGA